UGGGGAAUAUUGCACAAUGGGCGCAAGCCUGAUGCAGCCAUGCCGCGUGUGUGAAGAAGGCCUUCGGGUUGUAAAGCACUUUCAGCGAGGAGGAAGGUGGUGAGCUUAAUACGCUCAUCAAUUGACGUUACUCGCAGAAGAAGCACCGGCUAACUCCGUGCCAGCAGCCGCGGUAAUACGGAGGGUGCAAGCGUUAAUCGGAAUUACUGGGCGUAAAGCGCACGCAGGCGGUUUGUUAAGUCAGAUGUGAAAUCCCCGGGCUCAACCUGGGAACUGCAUUUGAAACUGGCAAGCUAGAGUCUCGUAGAGGGGGGUAGAAUUCCAGGUGUAGCGGUGAAAUGCGUAGAGAUCUGGAGGAAUACCGGUGGCGAAGGCGGCCCCCUGGACGAAGACUGACGCUCAGGUGCGAAAGCGUGGGGAGCAAAACAGGAUUAGAUACCCUGGUAGUCCACGCUGUAAAACGAUGUCGAUUUUGGAGGUUGUGCCCUUGAGGCGUGGCUUCCGGAGCUAACGCGUUAAAUCGACCGCCUGGGGAGUACGGCCGCAAGGUUAAAACUCAAAGGAAUUGACGGGGUCAUAGCUGUUUCCU
Molecule: ribosomal RNA, 589 nt
Filed under: uncultured bacterium
Lineage: Bacteria
Description: partial 16S ribosomal RNA
Rfam family: Bacterial small subunit ribosomal RNA
Source: RNAcentral